UACGUAGGGACCAAGCGUUGUUCGGAUUUACUGGGCGUAAAGGGCGCGUAGGCGGCAUGACAAGUCACUUGUGAAAUCUCUGAGCUUAACUCAGAACGGCCAAGUGAUACUGUCGCGCUAGAGUGCAGAAAGGGCAAUCGGAAUUCUUGGUGUAGCGGUGAAAUGCGUAGAUAUCAAGAGGAACACCUGAGGCGAAGGCGGGUUGCUAGGCUGACACUGACGCUGAGUGCGCGAAAGCCAGGGGAGCAAACGGG
This 254-nucleotide ribosomal RNA is filed under the name uncultured bacterium. RNAcentral describes it as "partial 16S ribosomal RNA". It matches the Rfam family "Bacterial small subunit ribosomal RNA", at positions 524 to 776 of the family's 1533-position model. The record is from RNAcentral.